Molecule: ribosomal RNA, 430 nt
Filed under: uncultured bacterium
Lineage: Bacteria
Description: bacterial SSU rRNA
Rfam family: Bacterial small subunit ribosomal RNA
Source: RNAcentral
UGGGGAAUUUUGCGCAAUGGGCGAAAGCCUGACGCAGUAACGCCGCGUGGAGGAUGAAGGCCUUCGGGUUGUAAACUCCUGUCAGAGGGAACGACGGUAGUAGGGUGAAUAGCUCUACUUUCUAGACGGUACCCUCAAAGGAAGCCCCGGCUAAUUCCGUGCCAGCAGCCGCGGUAAUACGGAAGGGGCAAGCGUUGUUCGGAAUCAUUGGGCGUAAAGGGCGCGUAGGUGGUCCUAUGUGUCUACUGUGAAAGCACACGGCUCAACCGUGUCGGGUCGGUAGAAACUGUAGGACUUGAGGCUGGGAGGGGCUGGUGGAAUUCCCUGUGUAGCGGUGAAAUGCGUAGAGAUGGGGGAGAACACUCGUGGCGAAGGCGGCCAGCUGGACCAGUCCUGACACUGAGGCGCGACAGCAUGGGGAGCAAACAGG